Molecule: ribosomal RNA, 253 nt
Filed under: uncultured bacterium
Lineage: Bacteria
Description: partial 16S ribosomal RNA
Rfam family: Bacterial small subunit ribosomal RNA
Source: RNAcentral
CACGGAGGAUGUGAGCGUUAUCCGGAUUUAUUGGGUUUAAAGGGUGCGUAGGUGGUUUAUUAAGUCAGUGGUGAAAGUUUGUCGCUCAACGAUAAAAUUGCCAUUGAAACUGGUAGACUUGAGUAUGUUUGAGGUAGGCGGAAUGCGUAGUGUAGCGGUGAAAUGCAUAGAUAUUACGCAGAACUCCAAUUGCGAAGGCAGCUUACUAGGCCAUAACUGACACUGAUGCACGAAAGCGUGGGUAUCAAACAGG